UACGAAGGGGGCUAGCGUUGUUCGGAUUUACUGGGCGUAAAGCGCCCGUAGGCGGGUUGUUAAGUCAGGGGUGAAAUCCUGGAGCUCAACUCCAGAACUGCCUUUGAUACUGGCAACCUAGAGGCUGGAAGAGGUUAGUGGAAUUCCCAGUGUAGAGGUGAAAUUCGUAGAUAUUGGGAAGAACACCAGUGGCGAAGGCGGCUAACUGGUCCAGAUCUGACGCUGAGGUGCGAAAGCGUGGGGAGCAAACAGG
Molecule: ribosomal RNA, 253 nt
Filed under: uncultured bacterium
Lineage: Bacteria
Description: partial 16S ribosomal RNA
Rfam family: Bacterial small subunit ribosomal RNA
Source: RNAcentral